Molecule: long non-coding RNA, 2062 nt
Filed under: Homo sapiens (human)
Lineage: Eukaryota; Metazoa; Chordata; Mammalia; Primates; Hominidae
Description: HSALNT0172483
Source: RNAcentral
AACAGAGAGAAUCAACAUUAAGCCCCAUUGGACUGGAUUCUGAAGAUGCUUGAGGACUUCCUGCCUUAGUCAGAUUUGGUUUGGAACUGGGGCAGGGCCAGGCCUGCAGGUGGAAGCAACAUCAGCCCCAGCUGUGGGUCCUUCUGACCUCUUUUUCUCUCUACCAGAGAACUGGCUAUUUUUACCUGUCAACUGAGAAGGAUGGAUAGAGAAAAGCAUCAUUACAAAAGUGAAAUGUGUGAAUUUUAUUCUGGCUUUGAACAUUGAGUAGACGAAGAAGACAAUUCCAGACGGAGGAAACUCCACAAGAAAUAUCAUGGAAAUUUGAAAGAACACAGUGGGCUUGGGAAGAGAGAUCUCAGUGGUGGAAGCACCAUCAUCCCAAGGAGACUUAGGACAUUAUUUGAAGAGAGUUUUCCCCUGAGGAAAGUGCUUCAGAGGAGAAAAUACACCAGAAAAAGACAAGGCCCUGCUCUGAGGAGUGAAGACACAAUCCAGCAGGCAGGAGGGAUGGCUAAGUUCAAAGUCUUGAGAAGUGCCCCUCAUGGACACCCCAGGGUGCCCAUCUCCAGGUUACCACCAGGUGCUUCCAAGACCAAGAUAACCAGGCAAUCAUAGUAGAUGCAUCAAUGCACCCUUGCCCAAGGGCCUAGACAAGAGGAGGAAGGAAAGGAGGAGCACGUGCACAAAGCUAAGGAGGUGAUUAACAACAUGAUACAGUAUUGUUUAGCUUCGCAUGAAUUUUAUCACCUUGCCUAGAACCAGCCACCAUCUGCCAGGGCUCCUGACUUUUUCUGAAAUGAAUAGACACUAAAGCCUGCUGGGGAAUUUCAUGGAAAUCAAGAUGACUCAACCCAGAGUCCAUUUCAAGGCUAGGAUGCUAGAGGACGCCAACAAAGGAGUAGGGAAGUGAAACGGAUCAGCUCACAUCCAAGCCCUUGCAUGAUCAAUCCUGCAGUAGGAGUGCUGCUCAGUUGGGACUCAUGAGAGCCCGGAAGAGGAAAAAGCAGCUCUAAGCAUAGCAAAGAAGCUGUUAUGGAAAAGACCCAAAUGUUAAAAUGGUGGACAUAGUAAAGUGAUUGGUUCUGCUUAGGGGAAUCUAGAUCCCCACAUUUUGACCUCCACUGGAGUCUCAGAAGAACAAGUGCCAGGGGGGCUUGCCACAGAGGCCAAGGCAGUGAAUGUCAGGCACAUCACAGUCCCCAAGAUGGGGAGAAGACUGAGAUGCAGGGUAACAACUGCAAUCCAUUCAUGGGAGCCAUGUUUAUCUUAAAUCAUUGACAGUGAGAUAAGGAUCAUGUCAGCCUUCAUACCUUUGAUGAUGAUCCCAGGCUGCAACAGUGACACAUAGAACUGGAUUCAGUAACUAACUACAGAUUCCAUCAACCAGGACUAGUAAAGUGAAAGGCAGAAAUUGGGAGGAGGGGUUUCUUUCUUGCUUAUAAAACUUUAUUUGGUUGUGUUGAGUAUGUGCAUGUAUGUAUGAAAUCCCAUAAAGCAGUCUUCUUAGGAACAAGCCAACAUGCCACAAUGUAGGAGAUCUUUGGAGCACUGGCCUAAAUGGCAGAGAGCUCAAGGGACUCUGCUUUGUACAAGGCAUGAUUUGUACCACCACCACUAUCCCUGUUUCAGAGCACUGUUGAAUUGUUCCAAACCUGGAUUUCUAUGUCAGCUCCCUGUCUAUAGUACUUGACUGAUAAAUGCUAGUUUCUGAAAUCUGCUUUGGUUCUAUAAUUUAUUAGACAGCUUUUUCUUCCCAUUUUAUUACUUGUUUUUACUGUCAUUGGUAUAUUAUCUCUUACAGUGAAAACAUUCAUAGGCUGAUUGAAGAGAAGAUCUGAAAUUAUUAGGCAGCAAGCAUACAAAACCCUUGCUUUAUAAAGAUAAUAUCUUAAAGGCCUAAUGUCUAUGGUUCAAAGCAGCCUGGAGAUGUUGGCUAAAUCUUCCAUCAUAGAGUCCUCAUGGGAUCUGGAAGCUCUGAUUUAUCUUCCUUCAGGCCCUAUAAGUUAGCUUUCCACAUCUGUAGGUUCCACAAUCAACCUUGGAUCAAAAACAUUUGAAA